UUCCAAUUCGGGUAUGCGAGACGCAAAAACGUACGGUCAAGUCCACGUGGAUCUCGCGACUGUUCUUCAGGCGAGCUCGUCUGUCAUGGCUAGUCGCAGCCGAUGCAACAUCCGAGUCCACGGAGCGCUGGACAUUAACUAAAUCCGAUAGAUUCGCCGCGGCUCGCACCACCUACACGUCCUUCGUUUGAUAGCGGCCUCGCGCGCAUCGACGGAACACGGCUCGAUCCAUUGCUUCUGCGCGAGAUUUUCGAGCCCGCGAUCACCCGUGCCGCGAUAAGGGACGUGUCAUCCUUGUAAUUUUUUCG
RNAcentral lists this unclassified non-coding RNA (308 nucleotides) under Bombus terrestris (buff-tailed bumblebee). RNAcentral's name for it is "misc RNA ENSBTSG00005025417.1". Lineage: Eukaryota; Metazoa; Arthropoda; Insecta; Hymenoptera; Apidae. The record is from RNAcentral.